Small nuclear RNA from Sorex araneus (European shrew), 166 nucleotides. Its record names the gene U1. It matches the Rfam family "U1 spliceosomal RNA". From Rfam's summary of the family: U1 is a small nuclear RNA (snRNA) component of the spliceosome (involved in pre-mRNA splicing). Its 5' end forms complementary base pairs with the 5' splice junction, thus defining the 5' donor site of an intron. Lineage: Eukaryota; Metazoa; Chordata; Mammalia; Eulipotyphla; Soricidae. The record is from Ensembl.
AACAUUACCUGACAGGGGAGAUACCAUGAUCACAAAUGUGGUUUUUUUCCAGGGCGAGGCUUAUUCAUUGCAUUCCAGAUGUGCUGACCCCAAUGAUUUUCCGAAAUGUGGGAAACUCGACUGCAUAAUUUGUGGUAGUGGGGGACUGCAUUCGCUCUCUCCCCUG